AUUGAACGCUGGCGGCAGGCCUAACACAUGCAAGUCGAGCGGAUGAAGGGAGCUUGCUCCUGGAUUCAGCGGCGGACGGGUGAGUAAUGCCUAGGAAUCUGCCUUGUAGUGGGGGAUAACGUCCGGAAACGGGCGCUAAUACCGCAUACGUCCUGAGGUAGAAAGUGGGGGAUCUUCGGACCUCACGCUAUCAGAUGAGCCUAGGUCGGAUUAGCUAGUUGGUGGGGUAAAGGCCUACCAAGGCGACGAUCCGUAACUGGUCUGAGAGGAUGAUCAGUCACACUGGAACUGAGACACGGUCCAGACUCCUACGGGAGGCAGCAGUGGGGAAUAUUGGACAAUGGGCGAAAGCCUGAUCCAGCCAUGCCGCGUGUGUGAAGAAGGUCUUCGGAUUGUAAAGCACUUUAAGUUGGGAGGAAGGGCAGUAAGUUAAUACCUUGCUGUUUUGACGUUACCAACAGAAUAAGCACCGGCUAACUUCGUG
RNAcentral lists this ribosomal RNA (484 nucleotides) under uncultured bacterium. RNAcentral describes it as "partial 16S ribosomal RNA". It matches the Rfam family "Bacterial small subunit ribosomal RNA", at positions 30 to 507 of the family's 1533-position model. The record is from RNAcentral.